GAUGAACGCUGGCGGCGUGCCUAAUACAUGCAAGUCGAGCGAACAGACGAGGAGCUUGCUCCUCUGACGUUAGCGGCGGACGGGUGAGUAACACGUGGAUAACCUACCUAUAAGACUGGGAUAACUUCGGGAAACCGGAGCUAAUACCGGAUAAUAUAUUGAACCGCAUGGUUCAAUAGUGAAAGACGGUUUUGCUGUCACUUAUAGAUGGAUCCGCGCCGCGUUAGCUAGUUGGUAAGGUAACGGCUUACCACGGCAACGCUGCGUAGCCGACCUGAGAGGGUGAUCGGCCACACUGGAACUGAGACACGGUCCAGACUCCUACGGGAGGCAGCAGUAUGGAAUCUGCCGCAAUGGUCGAAAGCCUGACGGAGCAACGCCGCGUGAGUUAUGAAGGUCUUCGGAGCGUAAAACUCUGUUAUUAGGUAAGAACAAAUUUGUAAGUAACUAUGCACGUCUUGACGGUACCUAAUCAGAAAGCCACGGCUAACUACGUG
RNAcentral lists this ribosomal RNA (497 nucleotides) under uncultured bacterium. RNAcentral describes it as "partial 16S ribosomal RNA". It matches the Rfam family "Bacterial small subunit ribosomal RNA", at positions 28 to 507 of the family's 1533-position model. The record is from RNAcentral.